CAGCCCCGCUGCCGCCGCCGCCUCGCCGCGCUUGGGCCCGUGGCCGGCCGCGCAUUGUCCGCGGGUGCAAGGAGCCUGGCUGCGGACUCGGAUCGCCGCGGGCCCAACCCCGUAGCUGGCGGGCGGGGAGCUGUGCGCCGGGAGCGCCAGGGGACCCCAGAUUAGGAACAGGCACGCCGGCCGGAGACCGGGUGCCGGAGGCUCCCGGCUGGGCGCUCCGCGGGGCAAGGCUGGGAACCGCGGGCAGGCUCCAGGUUCUCUUUCCCGGCUUCGGGCGUCCUUGGGGCCGGCGCUUACUCGGCGCCACCAGCCUGGAGCUGCUUUCCAGCGGCUGGAAGCGGGAGCGGUCCCAGGCUGGGGCCGGGUGACCGGAGGAGUGGAGGAGCCGCGGCCACGGCCGGCCAGGCCUGGGAAGGCAGGGCGAAUGGGGGUUUGCGGGCGGAUCGGUGGAGGCAGAGGAACACCGGCGGGGUCCGGGAAGCCAGGAUCUGAGGGACUACGCGCAGGGACCCUCACCCAGGGAGGAGCGAGAAUGUGUGAAGUCUGGAGCAGGACUUCUGAGGCUUUCUAUCCUCCAUGCCGCUCACUAGAAAAGGGGCUGUGAACUGCCCCUUUCUCCAGAAAGAAAAUUUGUGACUGGCCAAACUCUGCCCAGGUCUCCUGACUGCAUCUGGCAUUCCUGCUUAUCCAUUCUUUCCCUCAUAGACGCACGUUGAGCCUGAUGCUAGGCCAGGACUGGAAGUGCACGGUGAGGAAUACAGAAUCCCUGCUCUCUGGAAACUCAGAGCUUAGUGGGAGGGACACACCUAGGAACAGAUAAUUCAGUGACACAGCCUGGAGUUCAUGGCUAAGGACUUUGGACUUUGUCUUGGAGAUAUAGUCCCAGGUAUUAGGGGAGCAGAAAGGAAGGAAUGACAGACACCCUGUGUGGGGCUCAGUGGCCCUGAGAGAAAAUCUAACAGAGCUGAGUCUCAGAGGAUGAGUAGGAUUCUGCUAGAUGAGAUCUAAACAAGUUUUUUUUUUUUUUUUUUUUUUGAGACGGAGUCUCGCUCUGUCGCCCAGGCUGGAGUGCAGUGGCCCGAUCUCGGCUCACUGCAAGCUCCGCCUCCCGGGUUCACGCCACUCUCCUGCCUCAGCCUCCCAAGUAGCUGGGACUAUAGGCGCCCGCCAUCACACCCAGCUAAUUUUUUUGUAUUUUUAGUAGAGAUGGGGUUUC
This 1216-nucleotide long non-coding RNA is filed under the name Rhinopithecus bieti (black snub-nosed monkey). Its description in RNAcentral is "lncRNA (ENSRBIG00000045959.1)". The record is from RNAcentral. Lineage: Eukaryota; Metazoa; Chordata; Mammalia; Primates; Cercopithecidae.